RNAcentral lists this non-coding RNA (27 nucleotides) under Bombyx mori (domestic silkworm). Lineage: Eukaryota; Metazoa; Arthropoda; Insecta; Lepidoptera; Bombycidae. The record is from RNAcentral.
UAUAUUCAAUUACAAAUGUGUUGCAGC